This 253-nucleotide ribosomal RNA is filed under the name uncultured bacterium. Its description in RNAcentral is "partial 16S ribosomal RNA". It matches the Rfam family "Bacterial small subunit ribosomal RNA", at positions 524 to 776 of the family's 1533-position model. The record is from RNAcentral.
UACGAAGGGGGCUAGCGUUGUUCGGAAUUACUGGGCGUAAAGCGCGCGCAGGCGGCUAUCCAAGUCAGUGGUGAAAGCCCGGAGCUCAACUCCGGAACUGCCAUUGAAACUGUUUAGCUUGAGUAUGAGAGAGGUGAGUGGAAUUCCCAGUGUAGAGGUGAAAUUCGUAGAUAUUCGGAAGAACACCAGUGGCGAAGGCGACUCACUGGCCCGUUACUGACGCUGAGGCGCGAAAGCGUGGGGAGCAAACAGG